This 908-nucleotide ribosomal RNA is filed under the name Cyphellophora oxyspora. RNAcentral describes it as "LSU rRNA". It matches the Rfam family "Eukaryotic large subunit ribosomal RNA", at positions 38 to 963 of the family's 3401-position model. The record is from RNAcentral. Lineage: Eukaryota; Fungi; Ascomycota; Eurotiomycetes; Chaetothyriales; Cyphellophoraceae.
GCAUAUCAAUAAGCGGAGGAAAAGAAACCAACAGGGAUUGCCUCAGUAACGGCGAGUGAAGCGGCAACAGCUCAAAUUUGAAAUCUGGCCUCUUUGGGGUCCGAGUUGUAAUUUGGAGAGGAUGUUUCGGGCACGGUCCGGGCUUAAAUUUCUUGGAACAGAAUGUCACAGAGGGUGAGAAUCCCGUCUGGAGUCCGCGACACGACCUAUGUGAAACUCCUUCGACGAGUCGAGUUGUUUGGGAAUGCAGCUCUAAAUGGGUGGUAAAUUUCAUCUAAAGCUAAAUAUUGGCCAGAGACCGAUAGCGCACAAGUAGAGUGAUCGAAAGAUGAAAAGCACUUUGAAAAGAGAGUUAAACAGUACGUGAAAUUGUUGAAAGGGAAGCGCAGGCAACCAGACUUGCGCGUCGGGGUUCCCCCUUGCUUCUGCCUGGGUUACUCCCCGGCGUUCAGGCCAACAUCGGUUUCGGGGGUUGGUUAAAGACCCUGGGAAUGUAUCUACCCUGCGGGGUAGACUUAUAGCCCAGGGUGUCAUGCGACCUCCCGGGACCGAGGAACGCGCUUCGGCUCGGAUGUUGGCGUAAUGGUUGUCUGCGGCCCGUCUUGAAACACGGACCAAGGAGUCUAACAUCUAUGCGAGUGUUAGGGUGUCAAACCCUUACGCGGAAUGAAAGUGAACGGAGGUAGGAAGCCUUAAGGCUGCACUAUCGACCGAUCCUGAAGUUUACGGAUGGAUUUGAGUAAGAGCAUAGCUGUUGGGACCCGAAAGAUGGUGAACUAUGCCUGAAUAGGGUGAAGCCAGAGGAAACUCUGGUGGAGGCUCGCAGCGGUUCUGACGUGCAAAUCGAUCGUCAAAUUUGGGUAUAGGGGCGAAAGACUAAUCGAACCAUCUGGUAGCUGGUUCUGCGG